CUGGCCGUAAACGAUGAACACUAGAUGUUGGGGGAAUCGACCCCUCCGGUGUCGUAGCUAACGCGUUAAGUGUUCCGCCUGGGGAGUACGCACGCAAGUGUGAAACUCAAAGGAAUUGACGGGGGCCCGCACAAGCGGUGGAGUAUGUGGUUUAAUUCGAUGCAACGCGAAGAACCUUACCAAGGCUUGACAUCCUGCGAAUCUCCAAGAAAUUGGAGAGUGCCUUCGGGAACGCAGUGACAGGUGGUGCAUGGCUGUCGUCAGCUCGUGUCAUGAGAUGUUGGGUUAAGUCCCGCAACGAGCGCAACCCACGUUUUUAGUUGCCAGCAUUCAGUUGGGCACUCUAGAAAGACUGCCGGUGACAAACCGGAGGAAGGUGUGGACGACGUCAAGUCAUCAUGCCCCUUACGCCUUGGGCUACACACGUACUACAAUGCUGCGGACAAAGAGUAGCGAUCUUGCAAAAGUUAGCUAAUCUCGUAAACCGUGGCUCAGUUCAGAUCGUAGGCUGCAACUCGCCUACAUGAAGGAGGAAUCGCUAGUAAUCGCAGGUCAGCAUACUGCGGUGAAUACGUUCCCGGGCCUUGUACACACCGCCCGUCACACCAUGGAAGUUGGCCAUGCCCGAAGUCGUUACUCUAACCUUUUGGAAGAGGGCGCCGAAGGCAGGGCUAAUGACUGGGGUGAAGUCGUAACAAGGUAGCCGUAGCGGAAGCUGCGGCUGGAUCACCUCCUAA
Molecule: ribosomal RNA, 737 nt
Filed under: Candidatus Synechococcus spongiarum
Lineage: Bacteria; Bacillati; Cyanobacteriota; Cyanophyceae; Synechococcales; Synechococcaceae
Description: bacterial SSU rRNA
Rfam family: Bacterial small subunit ribosomal RNA
Source: RNAcentral